This 429-nucleotide ribosomal RNA is filed under the name Bacteroidota bacterium. RNAcentral's name for it is "Bacteroidetes bacterium partial 16S ribosomal RNA". It matches the Rfam family "Bacterial small subunit ribosomal RNA", at positions 355 to 776 of the family's 1533-position model. The record is from RNAcentral. Lineage: Bacteria; Pseudomonadati; Bacteroidota.
UAGGGAAUCUUCCGCAAUGGACGCAAGUCUGACGGAGCAACGCCGCGUGAGUGAAGAAGGAUUUCGGUUCGUAAAACUCUGUUGUUAGAGAAGAACAGCGCAUAGAGUAACUGUUAUGCGUGUGACGGUAUCUAACCAGAAAGCCACGGCUAACUACGUGCCAGCAGCCGCGGUAAUACGUAGGUGGCAAGCGUUGUCCGGAUUUACUGGGUGUAAAGGGAGCGUAGGCGGCAGUACAAGUCGGGAGUGAAAACUCGGGGCUCAACCCCGAGACUGCUCUCGAAACUGUACAGCUAGAGUGCAGGAAGGGCAGGCGGAAUUCCUGGUGUAGCGGUGAAAUGCGUAGAUAUCAGGAGGAACACCGGUGGCGAAGGCGGCCUGCUGGACUGUAACUGACGCUGAGGCUCGAAAGCGUGGGGAGCGAACAGG